Molecule: ribosomal RNA, 253 nt
Filed under: uncultured bacterium
Lineage: Bacteria
Description: partial 16S ribosomal RNA
Rfam family: Bacterial small subunit ribosomal RNA
Source: RNAcentral
UACAGAGGGUGCAAACGUUGUUCGGAAUUACUGGGCGUAAAGCGCACGUAGGCGGCCCUUCAAGUCAGAUGUGAAAGCCCCGGGCUUAACCCGGGAACUGCAUUUGAUACUGUUGGGCUAGAGACCGGGAGAGGAUAGCGGAAUUCCCAGUGUAGAGGUGAAAUUCGUAGAUAUUGGGAAGAACACCAGUGGCGAAGGCGGCUAACUGGUCCAGAUCUGACGCUGAGGUGCGAAAGCGUGGGGAGCAAACAGG